GUACCUUUCUUAAUUUGAGUACAACUCUUUUCUCUAUCUAAUGAAUUACUAAAGACUGUCAAAGAAUUACACAUCAUCGAAGAAACUCUAGUUAAUAUGGAUGACCAUAACUCUUCUGAAACUAAGCUUGCAUCUGAAAACCCCAGAUUUAAUAUUGAACCUGUAGUAUAAAUAUCAACAGGAGGUUCUCCCCAGUUAACUGUUCUCCACAUUCCUUGUGUUGAAACUACUAACAAAUCGUCAAGUAAAGGAAUCUGCAAUAAUCCCAAAAGUUCAUUUGGAAUAAACUUAUCAUCUUUAUUGGUCAAAUUAUUAUCUACUUCUAUCUCCAACUCGUAUCCUAAA
Molecule: non-coding RNA, 345 nt
Filed under: Cryptosporidium parvum
Lineage: Eukaryota; Apicomplexa; Conoidasida; Eucoccidiorida; Cryptosporidiidae
Source: RNAcentral